This 557-nucleotide long non-coding RNA is filed under the name Homo sapiens (human). Its description in RNAcentral is "non-protein coding lnc-ZNF35-4:1". The record is from RNAcentral. Lineage: Eukaryota; Metazoa; Chordata; Mammalia; Primates; Hominidae.
CAGCUAUGGUAAAACGGGACAUGCCUGACUGAAAUGAAGAGCUCCUCAGUUUCCUGUCAAUCAAAGUGGAAGACAGGACCUGGCAUCUACCUCUUGGAACUCCAAAUCUGACUGGAGGCACAUGUACAAAAACAAGGCAAGUGAAUAAAACACCAUACAAGCAGAGUGAGUUUGUGGACCCAGAUUUCCAGCAAUGAACAGUCCAUGACCUCUCACAUACUUCCUAGUAUUUAUGAGAUGCUGGCCUGGCUGAAGGCAAGCAUAUAACAUGACCAUUCAACUCUGCCCCAUUAACAGUGGGCCCUAACCCAAGUAGCCAGCUGAGGUUUCUUCUGGGCAUGAGUUGUCUGAUGGAGAAUAAGAUGGGAGCUCUGGCCAAAGGCUCUUUCACACUCAUUACACUGAUAGGGUUUCUCCCCUGUGUGAAUUCUCUGAUGCACAAUAAGGUAUGAACUACAACUGAAAGCUUUGCCGCAUUCAUUACACUCAAAUGGCUUCUCCCCCGUGUGGAUCCUCUGAGGGACAGUGAGGCCUGAACUCCGGCUGAAGGCUUUCCC